GGCGGAUGUAGCCAAGUGGAUUAAGGCGGUGGAUUGUGAAUCCACCAUGCGCGGGUUCAAUUCCCGUCGUUCGCC
Molecule: transfer RNA, 75 nt
Filed under: Najas flexilis
Lineage: Eukaryota; Viridiplantae; Streptophyta; Magnoliopsida; Alismatales; Hydrocharitaceae
Description: tRNA-His
Rfam family: tRNA
About the family: Transfer RNA (tRNA) molecules are approximately 80 nucleotides in length. Their secondary structure includes four short double-helical elements and three loops (D, anti-codon, and T loops). Further hydrogen bonds mediate the characteristic L-shaped molecular structure. tRNAs have two regions of fundamental functional importance: the anti-codon, which is responsible for specific mRNA codon recognition, and the 3' end, to which the tRNAs corresponding amino acid is attached (by aminoacyl-tRNA synthetases). tRNAs cope with the degeneracy of the genetic code in two manners: having more than one tRNA (with a specific anti-codon) for a particular amino acid; and 'wobble' base-pairing, i.e. permitting non-standard base-pairing at the 3rd anti-codon position.
Source: RNAcentral